UUAGUGGCGGACGGGUGAGUAACGCGUGAGUAACCUGCCUUACACAAGGGGAUAGCCGUUGGAAACGACGAAUAAUACCCUAUAACAUAAACUCUUCGCAUGAGGAGCUUAUCAAAGAUUUAUCGGUGUAAGAUGGACUCGCGUCUGAUUAGCUAGUUGGUGAGGUAACGGCCCACCAAGGCGACGAUCAGUAGCCGGCUUGAGAGAGUGUACGGCCACAUUGGGACUGGGACACGGCCCAGACUCCUACGGGAGGCAGCAGUU
RNAcentral lists this ribosomal RNA (264 nucleotides) under uncultured Anaerococcus sp. RNAcentral's name for it is "partial 16S ribosomal RNA". It matches the Rfam family "Bacterial small subunit ribosomal RNA", at positions 92 to 355 of the family's 1533-position model. Lineage: Bacteria; Bacillati; Bacillota; Tissierellia; Tissierellales; Peptoniphilaceae. The record is from RNAcentral.